CGGCGGACGGGUGAGUAACGCGUGGGUAACCUGCCUCAUACAGGGGGAUAACAGUUGGAAACGGCUGCUAAUACCGCAUAAGCGCACAGUACCGCAUGGUACCGUGUGAAAAACUCCGGUGGUAUGAGAUGGACCCGCGUCUGAUUAGCUAGUUGGUGGGGUAACGGCCUACCAAGGCGACGAUCAGUAGCCGACCUGAGAGGGUGACCGGCCACAUUGGGACUGGGACACGGCCCAA
Molecule: ribosomal RNA, 238 nt
Filed under: uncultured bacterium
Lineage: Bacteria
Description: partial 16S ribosomal RNA
Rfam family: Bacterial small subunit ribosomal RNA
Source: RNAcentral